Molecule: ribosomal RNA, 402 nt
Filed under: uncultured microorganism
Description: bacterial SSU rRNA
Rfam family: Bacterial small subunit ribosomal RNA
Source: RNAcentral
GAGUUUGAUCGUGGCUCAGAUUGAACGCUGGCGACAUGCCUUACACAUGCAAGUCGAACGGCAGCAUGAUCUAGCUUGCUAGAUUGAUGGCGAGUGGCGAACGGGUGAGUAAUACAUCGGAACGUGCCCUGUAGUGGGGGAUAACUAGUCGAAAGAUUAGCUAAUACCGCAUACGACCUGAGGGUGAAAGUGGGGGACCGCAAGGCCUCAUGCUAUAGGAGCGACCGAUGUCUGAUUAGCUAGUUGGUGGGGUAAAGGCCCACCAAGGCGACGAUCAGUAGCUGGUCUGAGAGGACGAUCAGCCACACUGGGACUGAGACACGGCCCAGACUCCUACGGGAGGCAGCAGUGGGGAAUUUUGGACAAUGGGGGCAACCCUGAUCCAGCAACGCCGCGUGUGUG